GCCUAACAGGGUAGUGUAUGUAAUCCCAGCAGCUGGGGAGGCUGAGGUUGGCAGAUCUCUUUAGCUUAGGAGUUCUGAGGGUAGGCUAAACUGCUUGGGUGCCUGCACUAAGUUCUCCAUAAAUAUGGUGAUCCCAGGAAUGGGGGACCACUAGGUUCCUUAAGGAGGAGCAAACCAGCCCUCAUCAGAAAAUGGAGUAGGUCAAAUCUCCUCCUAUGCCUAUCGGAAUAGAAUUGUGCUUAGAGUAGUUCCUGUGUUUCCAACCUGAACUAGACAGAAAAAUCCAGUGUAA
This 292-nucleotide non-coding RNA is filed under the name Phascolarctos cinereus (koala). Lineage: Eukaryota; Metazoa; Chordata; Mammalia; Diprotodontia; Phascolarctidae. The record is from RNAcentral.